This 253-nucleotide ribosomal RNA is filed under the name uncultured bacterium. RNAcentral describes it as "partial 16S ribosomal RNA". It matches the Rfam family "Bacterial small subunit ribosomal RNA", at positions 524 to 776 of the family's 1533-position model. The record is from RNAcentral.
UACGUAGGGGGCAAGCGUUGUCCGGAAUCAUUGGGCGUAAAGAGCGUGUAGGCGGCCCGAUAAGUCCGCCGUGAAAGUCCAGGGCUCAACCCUGGAAUGCCGGUGGAAACUGUCGGGCUGGAGUCCGGAAGAGGCGAGUGGAAUUCCUGGUGUAGCGGUGAAAUGCGCAGAUAUCAGGAGGAACACCAAUGGCGAAGGCAGCUCGCUGGGACGGUACUGACGCUGAGGAGCGAAAGCCAGGGGAGCAAACGGG